GAAGCGUGCGAUUGGAUUGCACGUCUAAGCAGUAAGGCUGAGUAUUAGGCAAAUCCGGUACUCGUUAAGGCUGAGCUGUGAUGGGGAGAAGACAUUGUGUCUUCGAGUCGUUGAUUUCACACUGCCGAGAAAAGCCUCUAGAUAGAAAAUAGGUGCCCGUACCGCAAACCGACACAGGUAGUCAAGAUGAGAAUUCUAAGGUGAGCGAGCGAACUCUCGUUAAGGAACUCGGCAAAAUGACCCCGUAACUUCGGGAGAAGGGGUGCUCUUUAGGGUUAACGCCCAGAAGAGCCGCAGUGAAUAGGCCCAAGCGACUGUUUAUCAAAAACACAGGUCUCUGCUAAACCGUAAGGUGAUGUAUAGGGGCUGACGCCUGCCCGGUGCUGGAAGGUUAAGAGGAGUGGUUAGCUUCUGCGAAGCUACGAAUCGAAGCCCCAGUAAACGGCGGCCGUAACUAUAACGGUCCUAAGGUAGCGAAAUUCCUUGUCGGGUAAGUUCCGACCCGCACGAAAGGCGUAACGAUUUGGGCACUGUCUCAACGAGAGACUCGGUGAAAUCAUAGUACCUGUGAAGAUGCAGGUUACCCGCGACAGGACGGAAAGACCCCGUGGAGCUUUACUGUAGCCUGAUAUUGAAAUUCGGCACAGCUUGUACAGGAUAGGUAGGAGCCUUUGAAACGUGAGCGCUAGCUUACGUGGAGGCGCUGGUGGGAUACUACCCUAGCUGUGUUGGCUUUCUAACCCGCACCACUUAUCGUGGUGGGAGACAGUGUCAGGCGGGCAGUUUGACUGGGGCGGUCGCCUCCUAAAAGGUAACGGAGGCGCUCAAAGGUUCCCUCAGAAUGGUUGGAAAUCAUUCAUAGAGUGUAAAGGCAUAAGGGAGCUUGACUGCGAGACCUACAAGUCGAGCAGGGUCGAAAGACGGACUUAGUGAUCCGGUGGUUCCGCAUGGAAGGGCCAUCGCUCAACGGAUAAAAGCUACCCCGGGGAUAACAGGCUUAUCUCCCCCAAGAGUUCACAUCGACGGGGAGGUUUGGCACCUCGAUGUCGGCUCAUCGCAUCCUGGGGCUGUAGUCGGUCCCAAGGGUUGGGCUGUUCGCCCAUUAAAGCGGUACGCGAGCUGGGUUCAGAACGUCGUGAGACAGUUCGGUCCCUAUCCGUCGUGGGCGUAGGAAAUUUGAGAGGAGCUGUCCUUAGUACGAGAGGACCGGGAUGGACAUACCUCUGGUGUACCAGUUGUCGUGCCAACGGCAUAGCUGGGUAGCUAUGUGUGGACGGGAUAAGUGCUGAAAGCAUCUAAGCAUGAAGCCCCCCUCAAGAUGAGAUUUCCCAACUUCGGUUAUAAGAUCCCUCAAAGAUGAUGAGGUUAAUAGGUUC
This 1376-nucleotide ribosomal RNA is filed under the name Staphylococcus aureus. RNAcentral's name for it is "partial 23S ribosomal RNA". It matches the Rfam family "Bacterial large subunit ribosomal RNA", at positions 1488 to 2863 of the family's 2925-position model. The record is from RNAcentral. Lineage: Bacteria; Bacillati; Bacillota; Bacilli; Caryophanales; Staphylococcaceae.